Long non-coding RNA from Aedes aegypti (yellow fever mosquito), 393 nucleotides. RefSeq lists it as uncharacterized. The transcript is spliced from 2 exons. The record is from RefSeq and is a predicted model, not a curated record. Lineage: Eukaryota; Metazoa; Arthropoda; Insecta; Diptera; Culicidae.
AUUCUGUUCAAGUGAUGAUAAAGUUAUGUUGUGGAAUAAAAUUGUUGCAACAAAAAUAGGAGAAUUUCUUCAUCUAUGGUGGACUUAAACUUCGAACGGAAAGAAACUCUCAUAUAAAAAACAUGGAUGUUUGGGAAAAAUGUUUGAUGCUUGAUUUAUGACGAAUCAUUAACUAAGUUUGAGUAGAAUAUUUGAUAAAAUAAAAUUUUCAUAUUUGGUUUGUCUUUUUUAGGAUUUCUUCAUCAAAAGGUGGAAAUUCACACAUAAACAACAUCUAACAACAUGAAGGAUUGGGAACAAUAAACGUAUACAAAUAUGUUAACAAUCAGAUAACCAGCACCAAUUUAAUGGCAUUGGAUAAAUUUAUGUAAUAAUAAAUCUUCGAGCUUUUUA